AGGGUUUAUUCCCUUUGUUCUUCCUCUCUUGCGUUCUAUUGAAUUGAAUUUCCAUACAUAAGCCUAUGGAAACUAUUCCAUACGAUGAUACUAGUCCAAACUAUAUUUUUUUCAUCAAAUUAUAAUAUGUUGACUUCAUUAAUCAAUUUUAAUUUACAGUGUGAUCAAAAUAAAUAUAUCAUAUCCAUAUAAUCAUACCAUC
This 202-nucleotide long non-coding RNA is filed under the name Elaeis guineensis (African oil palm). Its description in RNAcentral is "long non-coding RNA (EGUI_LNC025017)". The record is from RNAcentral. Lineage: Eukaryota; Viridiplantae; Streptophyta; Magnoliopsida; Arecales; Arecaceae.